RNAcentral lists this long non-coding RNA (694 nucleotides) under Oreochromis niloticus (Nile tilapia). Its description in RNAcentral is "lncRNA (ENSONIG00000034541.1)". Lineage: Eukaryota; Metazoa; Chordata; Actinopteri; Cichliformes; Cichlidae. The record is from RNAcentral.
GAUGAUGUUACGACAACAGAAGUGCUGAAUUAUGAGUGGAGCAAAUAUUUUUGUGUCUUCUCAAAUAGGAAUUUAUCAGGAACAUGAGAGGAGAGUCGUGGAUUGGUCUGUAUUCUAAACAGACAUCAGGAAGAUAUAAAUGGGAAUGGGUGGACGAAUCAGCGCUGACAGAAAUGUUCUGGGCACCAGGAUAUGAGACUCCCCGGUAUUGGUACCGUGGAGUCUGCUGUGACAGUGAUGGGAAAUGGACACAGUCAUAUUAUGAUGAUGAGAAGACCUUCAUCUGUGAGAAAUGAGUUUGGUGCGUUGAUGUAAAUGUUUGCAUAAUCCAACCAAAGACACCUCACUAUGAAAUGUCCUGCAUGAGCCUCAGACUCAGCUCACAGUUGUUACUUGUUCAUUCUGCAUCAUAUAUUGAUUACAUAUAUUGUCCCUCUGUGCUCUGUGCUGUACAGUAAGGUUGGAAGUCAUCCACACAAAAACUUGAAGUACUUCAUUACUCUGUAGUUCCAGCAAAUUGUUCUAAUAAAAGUCAAAGUGCAGCUUGUCUUUACUUUGUUUACUUGGUUUCUUCAUCAGUCUGUUGGUCCUAAAACUACAGUAAAUGUCUUGUUUGUAAAAGUUCUCUCCAAGUCAUAACAUGACUGUUACAUGCAGCCAGAUUGUCCACACGGUCAUGUUGUGCUUACAAAAA